Molecule: unclassified non-coding RNA, 246 nt
Filed under: uncultured fungus
Lineage: Eukaryota; Fungi
Description: partial contains 5.8S ribosomal RNA, internal transcribed spacer 2, and large subunit ribosomal RNA
Source: RNAcentral
AACGCACAUUGCGCCCUUCGGUAUUCCGUUGGGCAUGCCUGUUCGAGCGUCAUUUAAUCCUUCAAGCUUUGCUUGGUGUUGGGCGUUUGUUCCGCCUCUGCGCGUGGACUCGCCUCAAAUUCAUUGGCAGCCGGUAGGUUUGGCUUCGUGCGCAGCACAUUGCGUAGCGACUCUAGCCUGCCUCCUUCCAGUAAGCUCCUCUAUUUUCUUGACCUCGGAUCAGGUAGGGAUACCCGCUGAACUUAA